Non-coding RNA from Myodes glareolus (Bank vole), 2729 nucleotides. NCBI's taxonomy places the organism in Eukaryota, Metazoa, Chordata, Mammalia, Rodentia, Cricetidae. The record is from RefSeq and is a predicted model, not a curated record.
CAUCCUUGCUAAUAAGUUCUCCCCAUACUGACCAGAAGCUGAGGUUGCUUUUACAGGAUUCUCUCCUGUGACACAGAGGAAGCCAUUCAUCACCACCUCCUUUCAAAGGUUUGAAGAUGUCAGAAGAGAUAUAAGGCAAUCCACUCACAAAGAUAUAAGAGGAGAGAAGGCAACCCAGCAACUGGACAGGGGCCAUGGAGAGUAAACUGGGAGCUGUGCUCGGGAUUCUGUGGGUGCAGAUUUGCUGAGUGCAAGGAGUUGAUGUGGAGCAGAGUCUUUCAGAUCUGAGUCUCCACGAGGAAACUAGUUCUUCUCUGAGAUGCGAAUUUUCUACCACCAUCAUGAGUGUGCAGUGGUUCCAACAGAAUCCCCGGGGCAGCCUCAUCUGUUUUACUUGACUCCUGGAACAAAGGAGAAUGGAAGGCUAAAGUCAACAUUCAACUCCAAGGAGAGCUACAACACCCUGAACAUCAGGGAUGCCCAGUUGGAGGACCUACGCACCUACCUCUGUGCAGUGGAGGCACAGUGCUUUCUACAAGCCUGCAGCCUGGUCACAAACUGCAGAUGAGUGUGCAGCUGCAGUCCUGACAUGGGGAGACUAGAUAGGAGACUUUUCACAGUGGUGGCUUUAUCAGAUCCCCACCAAUUACAAAGAAAUUUUGAGGAAACAAAAUUUCCAAAACAGAAAUUCAUGCUUAAAAUCAGAUUGACAUGUCCUUGAUUUGGAUAAGCUUAAAUGUUCAGAAACAUCAGCCCACAUGACUAAGAUGUAUACUUUAUUUCACCAAAUGCUUAUGCUAAUGUCAUGAAAUCUAAGCCUCUCUUACACAUUCCAGAAUCAUUUGGACCAUGGCUCAAAACUGGAAACUGGGGACAACUAUUUCCGUCCUAUAUUUAGAAACCAUAGGAAAACAUUUACAGCUAAUCUACUUCAUAUAAAUUUAAUAAAAGAAUUAAAUUUGAAGAUCUAAAAGAUUAAGUUUAAAAGGCAAGAUAAACACAAAUCUUAUUAAAUUAAGACAUUAUUUCUACAAUAUCUUGAUAUUUUUAAAAAUAUAAUGAAUUUAUUUAUGUAAUAUAAAAAUAUUUCACAUAAAAUGAUCAGAGACAAAAUAUCAAUGACAAACUAGAGAGCUAUAUUUGUAAUUUUUAUCAGAAUGAUAUUUGUAGCAACUGAUUCUACCAAAAUAUUAACACAUCUUCAAUGUAAUAUAUACACACAACUAACUUCUCAUUCAAAGAUAGCUCUCAAAAGUAAAAGUGGAGCCCACCUAAAGGUCACACAAUAGGGCAUUAUUUCAUUAUACAGUAAUUAAAUAUGAUCCCAACAACUGCUUUUGCCCAAGGGUUGGUAUCUUCUAGAACUGAAAAUCUCUGACAGGCCAGUUGUCUUUAUAAGGAACUGGAAAGCAGCCAUGCUCACUGAUUCCCAAACUGUCUCUUUUUUACCCUGUUCACCACUCAACACAGCAGCUGAGUGGUUACAACAGUGACUGGAUUAGCUAAAAUAGAACAAAAAACAAACACCCCCCCAAAAAAAACAUAUGAGGAGCUCAUAUACAUGCAAAGACACAAGCUUGCGCACAAAAAUAUAUAACACCACAAAACUGGAAGCCAUAAUAUAUAAGAAAGUAACUGAUAUGUUAAAUAAUGACUCAGAUAAAGCAUUAAGAGACCUAGAAAACAAACAAUACAAUUGAGUUUAUUUGAGUUGGCCAUCUUCUGCUGAGCAUAAGACCUAACUUAAGUGUGGUUUGUGUACCCAGGGAAAUGUCCUUGGAGAAAACUAAAUUUUUCCUUGUGAGCAAUUUUCAAUUGGAGAUAGCUUCUGGGUUCGAAGCAGGUAAAGUCCAUUUUCACCUUCCUUAGUCCCUUCUAUUCCCAGUGGCUCAUAUAAUCCUUUUGCUUCCUCUUCCACAAAAUUCACUGAACCCUUACAGGAGAAGUUUAAUGAAGACAAUCUAUUGAGGACUGGGUGUUCCAAUGUCUCUCAUUCUCAGCAUAUUUUCCAGGUGUGGAGUUGUAGAUCCCUGUGUUUGUUCCCAUCUACUGCAAGCAAAAGCUUCUCUGGUGAUUGCUGAGUAAGACAUUGAUCCACUGAUGUAGCAGAAAGUCAUUAGUAGUCAUUAUAUCAUUAUGGAUAUUUAGUAGGACAAUGAUACUUGGUUUUUCCUUAGGUCCAUAGCCUGUCUAGACUCAAGUUUUUGGCCACCGGAGCAGUAUUAGGCAUGGAUUUCAUCUAAUGGGCCCUAAGUUCAUUCAGAAUGUGGAAGGUCACACCAAUAUCAACUGUCUUUUUAUCAUACCACUGUACCAUGUAUAGGGAUCGCCAUUGUAGAAUAAAGGACUUAUAGCUAUGUUAUUCUUUACCUUUCUUCUCUGGUAAUAUUAUACAUAUGCUUUGCUAGAUUUAAAGACAGGAAACAGACUCACUAGUGUGUUCAAACACCAUUCUUAAUCUCUCAAAACUGGAACACACUUGAUAUGACAUAUUUGUGUCUUAUGUGUCUGAGUCCCUCACAUGUCAGAUAACACUUAAGCAGAGGCUUCACUGGUUAAGGAUGCAACGACCAGGUGGGAGUAGAACUCAGCUGCUGUGGGUAUGCAGAGGACUCACUUCUUUGAACGCUGAUUGUGCAGGCUUAGGGCAGAAGCACACUCUUUUUCUCAGUAUCUGAGUGGAUGACUCAAGCAGUAGAAUUGUUCAUUAAAAAGAACAACACCCCAAU